AGGAAUAUUGGUCAAUGGACGAGAGUCUGAACCAGCCAAGUAGCGUGAAGGAUGACUGCCCUAUGGGUUGUAAACUUCUUUUAUAAAGGAAUAAAGUCGGGUAUGCAUACCCGUUUGCAUGUACUUUAUGAAUAAGGAUCGGCUAACUCCGUGCCAGCAGCCGCGGUAAUACGGAGGAUCCGAGCGUUAUCCGGAUUUAUUGGGUUUAAAGGGAGCGUAGAUGGAUGUUUAAGUCAGUUGUGAAAGUUUGCGGCUCAACCGUAAAAUUGCAGUUGAUACUGGAUAUCUUGAGUGCAGUUGAGGCAGGCGGAAUUCGUGGUGUAGCGGUGAAAUGCUUAGAUAUCACGAAGAACUCCGAUUGCGAAGGCAGCCUGCUAAGCUGCAACUGACAUUGAGGCUCGAAAGUGUGGGUAUCAAACAGGAUUAGAUACCCUGGUAGUCCACACGGUAAACGAUGAAUACUCGCUGUUUGCGAUAUACGGCAAGCGGCCAAGCGAAAGCGUUAAGUAUUCCACCUGGGGAGUACGCCGGCAACGGUGAAACUCAAAGGAAUUGACGGGGGCCCGCACAAGCGGAGGAACAUGUGGUUUAAUUCGAUGAUACGCGAGGAACCUUACCCGGGCUUAAAUUGCAGAUGAAUUACGGUGAAAGCCGUAAGCCGCAAGGCAUCUGUGAAGGUGCUGCAUGGUUGUCGUCAGCUCGUGCCGUGAGGUGUCGGCUUAAGUGCCAUAACGAGCGCAACCCUUGUUGUCAGUUACUAACAGGUCAUGCUGAGGACUCUGACAAGACUGCCAUCGUAAGAUGUGAGGAAGGUGGGGAUGACGUCAAAUCAGCACGGCCCUUACGUCCGGGGCUACACACGUGUUACAAUGGGGGGUACAGAGGGCCGCUACCACGCAAGUGGAUGCCAAUCCCCAAAACCUCUCUCAGUUCGGACUGGAGUCUGCAACCCGACUCCACGAAGCUGGAUUCGCUAGUAAUCGCGCAUCAGCCACGGCGCGGUGAAUACGUUCCCG
RNAcentral lists this ribosomal RNA (1016 nucleotides) under uncultured bacterium. Its description in RNAcentral is "bacterial SSU rRNA". It matches the Rfam family "Bacterial small subunit ribosomal RNA", at positions 357 to 1376 of the family's 1533-position model. The record is from RNAcentral.